This 518-nucleotide long non-coding RNA is filed under the name Hordeum vulgare. RNAcentral's name for it is "long non-coding RNA (HVUL_LNC000636)". The record is from RNAcentral. Lineage: Eukaryota; Viridiplantae; Streptophyta; Magnoliopsida; Poales; Poaceae.
GGAAAUUUAUGCAUCAAAACCUAGUGAUGUACAUAAGAAUUUAGGAUGGAUGAAUAUAUACAAGUAAUUGUGAAAGAAUAAAAAGAAUUAUACACAAAGGCUAAUCAUGUACACUGAAAUUGGGGGUCGAGUCAUUCAUGUAUGAAUACGUACUUGAGAUUUUGUAAUCGAUUGGGCGAAUGGUCUCGUGGAUGCCGCCGGAGGCCGAAUGGCCGGGUCGCAAACACGAACGAACGACGCAGCAAAAGGUUGUCGGCCUGCCACCGCGCUUCUCAACGACAGUGAACUAGAACCUGAAUCCCGAGCGACAGAGAAGGACAGACAGGCGGUGAGGCACCGAGCGACGUUUCAGGAAGCCUCGAAGACGAACUGAUGAACCCCGCGGGCCACGGCGACAACAAACUAGGAUCUGAAUCCCGAGCAGCCGGAGCUGGUAGGCAGGCGGCGACGCGCAGAGUGACGUAUCAUGAGACUCAAAGAAGUACGAACUGACGAACUGAAACGAUCACCAGAUUGCU